This 459-nucleotide ribosomal RNA is filed under the name uncultured bacterium. RNAcentral's name for it is "partial 16S ribosomal RNA". It matches the Rfam family "Bacterial small subunit ribosomal RNA", at positions 338 to 795 of the family's 1533-position model. The record is from RNAcentral.
CCUACGGGUGGCAGCAGUGAGGAAUAUUGGUCAAUGGGCGGGAGCCUGAACCAGCCAAGCCGCGUGAGGGAAGAAGGUACAGCGUAUCGUAAACCUCUUUUGUCAGGGAACAAAGGCGGGGACUAGUCCCCGGAUGAGGGUACCUGAAGAAAAAGCAUCGGCUAACUCCGUGCCAGCAGCCGCGGUAAUACGGAGGAUGCGAGCGUUAUCCGGAUUUAUUGGGUUGAAAGGGUGCGUAGGCGGCCUGUUAAGUCAGCGGUAAAAGCCCGGGGCUAAACCCCGCCGAGCCGUUGAUACUGGCGAGCUGGAGUUGGGGAGAGGUACGCGGAAUGCGCGGUGUAGCGGUGAAAUGCUUAGAUAUCGCGCAGAACCCCGAUCGCGAAGGCAGCGUACCGGAUCCAGACUGACGCUGAGGCACGAAAGCGUGGGUAUCGAACAGGAUUAGAUACCCUUGUAGUC